AUCUGUAGACCUAUAGUGAAAGUCGAAGGACGCAAGCCAGUGCGCCCACGACGCUCGAACUGUGUGCAUGUGUCGACAUUAAAUAAUAAAAAAAAAAAAUUCGCGCGGUAAAUUUUUUGACGUUUGACAACUGUUUUUCGAAAACGAACUAACUGAUUUAAGUUAAGUUUAUAAAACAACUUAAAUGCAGUGUCAGUGUUUACUCGACUCGAUAUGUUUAUGAAAAAUGUGAGUGCUCCCACGACGCUCGCAC
Molecule: long non-coding RNA, 253 nt
Organism: Melitaea cinxia (Glanville fritillary)
Lineage: Eukaryota; Metazoa; Arthropoda; Insecta; Lepidoptera; Nymphalidae
Exons: 4
Source: RefSeq, a predicted model, not a curated record